UACACAUGCAAGUCGAGCGAGAAGUUGAGAUAGCUUGCUAUCAAGAUGGAAAGCGGCGAACGGGUGAGUAACACGUUGGUAUCUGCCCUCUGGUCAGGGAUAGCCAUUCGAAAGGAUGAUUAAUACCGGAUAGUCUCGAAAGAGUAAAGAUUUAUUGCCAGAGGAGGAACCUGCGGCCUAUCAGCUAGUUGGUGAGGUAGAAGCUCACCAAGGCGAUGACGGGUAGCUGAUCUGAGAGGAUGAUCAGCCACAAUGGAACUGAGACACGGUCCAUACUCCUACGGGAGGCAGCAGUGAGGAAUCUUCCACAAUGGGGGCAACCCUGAUGGAGCGACACCGCGUGAAGGAUGAAGGCCUAACGGUUGUAAACUUCUUUUCUGAGGGAGCAUAAUGAGAGUACUUCAGGAAUAAGGGACGGCUAAAUACGUGCCAGCAGCCGCGGUAAUACG
Molecule: ribosomal RNA, 449 nt
Filed under: uncultured Campylobacterota bacterium
Lineage: Bacteria; Pseudomonadati; Campylobacterota
Description: bacterial SSU rRNA
Rfam family: Bacterial small subunit ribosomal RNA
Source: RNAcentral